RNAcentral lists this ribosomal RNA (227 nucleotides) under uncultured bacterium. RNAcentral's name for it is "partial 16S ribosomal RNA". It matches the Rfam family "Bacterial small subunit ribosomal RNA", at positions 107 to 334 of the family's 1533-position model. The record is from RNAcentral.
UGAGUAACACGUAUCCAACCUGCCGUCUACUCUUGGACAGCCUUCUGAAAGGAAGAUUAAUACAAGAUGGCAUCAUGAGUCCACAUGUUCACAUGAUUAAAGGUAUUCCGGUAGACGAUGGGGAUGCGUUCCAUUAGAUAGUAGGCGGGGUAACGGCCCACCUAGUCUUCGAUGGAUAGGGGUUCAGAGAGGAAGGUCCCCCACAUUGGAACUGAGACACGGUCCAA